CGCGACUUUCCUCGGAAAUUUAAAGUCAUCCACAAAGCGUUCUUCAGUAUUAAAGACACGGUCAAGUGAAAGGAACGCGAAGACGUCUCUCGUGGCGUCCUCCGGCGCGGCGUCUUCGAGCGCCUAGCAAUCACGCGAGACGCUCAUACAGACGAACCUUGGAGUUACAAUAGACAGAGGGAAUUCUCUUUCAUAAAUUUAGGGAUGAAUAUUUUUCACUUAUUUUGGGAAACUUUAUUACAUAUUUCAGAGCUGAAAGUCAAAGAUACAAGAGCUUCUCGUUGCCAACAUGUUGCAAAAGCAAAUCACAUGUGGUAACAACAUAGGGUAUUUCCAAAUCACAGUAGAAUCAUGAUUAUUGCAUAGGAGUCCCAUUCAUCUUACAGUGUUGACAAGUGGAGGGAGCUAAGCAACAAGUAUGGCUGGAAACGAUGAUACACUACGUAGAGCUACUAUCCAUUGGAUUGGUUGACUUGACUAUCGCAGAAAUUUUCAGGACUUCCGGCAAUAAGCGAGAUUCUAAUACAAUUGAAAAGUGCCACAAGUGGAGAUCAUUAUAAAAUUAAUCUGCGUAAACCGGGGUUCCUAUGGUUUUGCAGGCAGAUAGACCGAACAUCAAGGGACGGACUGACGAACAUAGAAGACCAUCGGCCAGCCUUGUUGCUGUUACGUGCCGACAAUUAAAUUUUUUUAUUUAUCUUGAUUUCAUAAUUCAUAAUUUUUCACGCGUGUGUGUGUGUGCUUUUCCCCCGUCCAAGACAUCCGACGACCAACAUCCAUGCGUUUCAAUACACCGAUAAAUCCGUACCGAAAAGCUUAGUGGUGAGUUGUUUCUUUCCAAGCGCAAUCUUUUCCAAAGUUGUGAUCAUCGUUGUAACUGAUGAAUGUUUCAUCAUUUCCGGGGGAACCCUAAUUAAUUAUCCCUGAUGAAUAGUAUGUAUCCCGACAAUAUGUAACAUAUAUAUAUUUACAACCACAAAGGAAUGAAAGAAAGAGCAGAACUUAACGCAGA
Long non-coding RNA from Hylaeus volcanicus, 1012 nucleotides. RefSeq lists it as uncharacterized. The record is from RefSeq and is a predicted model, not a curated record. The transcript has 3 exons. Lineage: Eukaryota; Metazoa; Arthropoda; Insecta; Hymenoptera; Colletidae.